CUGAACCUCCAAUAGUUCCUAAUGGAAGUUAUACUGUCUUAGGAUACAACGUUGAUCAUACAGUUACAUAUGUGUGUGACGAUGGAUUCGUACAUUCUGCUGGGAAUUUAGUAGGAACAUGUACCAAUAUGGGGACAUGGGAUUUGAUAGUACCAUCUUGCAGUGCUCCCUUGUGUCCGACACCACCAAUAAUUACAAACACUGUUACAGAAGAACAGGGAAGAAGUCCCGGAGACAAAGUAAUCUUCAGUUGUAUACCUGGAUUUGUUGAUAUAUCUGGUGAUCUAGAACAUAUGUGUAGUACUAGUCUGUCUUGGGAAGGAAUUAAUCCGGUUUGCAUACAAAUUGUUGGCGGUCAAAAUACAGAUCGUGGCUACAAGAAAACAACUCAAGAUUUAUCAAACUAUUCACAGCUGCAUCAACCACAAGCAAGGUCAAAUUUAAACUGUGCAGAAAAAUGUAAUAAGGACUCGUUGUGUAAUUCAUAUACAUUUGAUAAUAGUGUUAAAACAUGUCGUCUGUAUAAGUUUGAUAUGACUGGCAGUAAUCUUGUGUGCACUGGAAGUGACAUAUGCUACAUUCGACAUUCAUGAUUCUUGGAUUCGUUAAAGAUUUAUUUCAAUAAAGAAGGUAGUGAUGGAUUAUAUUUUGAAUCAGACAUAUUACAUUCAGACAUUGUGUCUUUUGCGUUUUUGCUACGGUUUUUUAUGUGCUUUGUAUCGAUCUGAUUAGAUUAGCCCUUUUCAACUGAUUUUUAUAGUCUGUAAGUUUAACCCCGCCACAUUAUGCAUGUGCCUGUCCCAAGUCAGGAGCCUGAAAUUCAGUGGCUGUCGUUUGUUGCUGUAUAUUAUAUUGGUUUUUCGUUUAUUGUUUUGUACUUAAAUCUGGGCAUUAGUUUUCUCGUUUGAAUUGCUUUACAUUUGUUAUUUCGGGGCCUUUUAAAGCUUACUAUGCGGUAUGGGGUUUGCCUAUUGUUGAAGGCUGUACGGUGACCUAAAGUAACUGUUGUUAAUUUCUAUGUCAAUCGGUCUCUGGUGGUGUCUUAUUGGCAAUCAUACCACAUCUUCUUAUUUUUAUAUAUGUAUUACUCACUGCGUUAUACACAGAUGUGUGAGUUGUUUUUUAGGUCAUGCAUGCUGUAUAACGGCAUUUUGAUUUUCAUAUGUUAUAUUUCUUUAAAACUAAGUCUGUAAUUGCUACUCACUCGUUUUUAUCUUGUUUAUGUUAUUUUGUAUAAUUUGUACUCAUCUUAUUGUUAUUCACUUGCGUCUGUUGCUAUGGAUUUUUGUAGUAUUUUCUUCAUCGUAUUUUUAAAUAAACUCAUCAUAGAUACCAGGAUUAAAUUUUGUAUUUACGCCAGACGCGCGUUUCGUCUACAAAAGACUCAUCAGUGACGCUCGAAUCCCAAAAAGUUAAAAAGGCCAAAUAAAGUACGAAGUUGAAGAGCAUUGAGGACCAAAAUUCUUAAAAGUUUUGCCAAAUACAGCUAAGGUAAUCUAUUCCUGAGGUAGAAAAGCCUUAGUAUUUCAAAAAUUCAAAAGUUUUGUAAACAGUUAAUUUAUAAA
Molecule: long non-coding RNA, 1565 nt
Organism: Mytilus californianus (California mussel)
Lineage: Eukaryota; Metazoa; Mollusca; Bivalvia; Mytilida; Mytilidae
Exons: 3
Source: RefSeq, a predicted model, not a curated record